Molecule: ribosomal RNA, 256 nt
Filed under: uncultured bacterium
Lineage: Bacteria
Description: partial 16S ribosomal RNA
Rfam family: Bacterial small subunit ribosomal RNA
Source: RNAcentral
UACAGGAGGGUGCAAGCGUUGUCCGGAAUCAUUGGGCGUAAAGGGCGCGUAGGUGGCCCGGUCAGUUCGUGGUGAAAGCGCGGGGCUCAACUCCGCGUCGGCCAUGAAUACUGCGUGGGCUUGAGCACUGUAGAGGCAGGCGGAAUUCCGGGUGUAGCGGUGGAAUGCGUAGAGAUCCGGAAGAACACCGGUGGCGAAGGCGGCCUGCUGGGCAGUAGCUGACACUGAGGCGCGGACAGCGUGGGGAGCAAACAGG